This 567-nucleotide ribosomal RNA is filed under the name uncultured bacterium. RNAcentral describes it as "bacterial SSU rRNA". It matches the Rfam family "Bacterial small subunit ribosomal RNA", at positions 102 to 657 of the family's 1533-position model. The record is from RNAcentral.
ACGGGUGAGUAACACGUAAGGAACCUGCCUCAAGGAUUGGGAUAACUCCGAGAAAUCGGAGCUAAUACCGGAUAGUUCAUCGGACCGCAUGGUCCGUUGAUGAAAGGCGCUUCGGCGUCACCUUGAGAUGGCCUUGCGGUGCAUUAGCUAGUUGGUGGGGUAACGGCCCACCAAGGCGACGAUGCAUAGCCGACCUGAGAGGGUGAUCGGCCACACUGGGACUGAGACACGGCCCAGACUCCUACGGGAGGCAGCAGUAGGGAAUCUUCCACAAUGGACGAAAGUCUGAUGGAGCAACGCCGCGUGAGUGAUGAAGGUUUUCGGAUCGUAAAACUUUGUUGUAAGGGAAGAACACGUACGAGAGGAAAUGCUCGUACCUUGACGGUACCUUACGAGAAAGCCACGGCUAACUACGUGCCAGCAGCCGCGGUAAUACGUAGGUGGCAAGCGUUGUCCGGAAUUAUUGGGCGUAAAGCGCGCGCAGGCGGCCUUUUAAGUCUGAUGUGAAAGCCCCCGGCUCAACCGGGGAGGGCCAUUGGAAACUGGAAGGCUUGAGUACAGAAGAGA